CACACAGACACAUGAACUACAUUAAGUCAAUAAUCACUGAAAACUGCAAACCUUUACAGCUCAAUGGUAACACCACAGCACUACCUUUGCAACGGCUAUAGGUUUGAUUGGUUUCACUGGCCAGCCAAGCUAAAAACGAAUGCACGAACGGUACCCUGGGGUGUUUCAAACAAAAGCGUUCUCCAAAAAGGCCUUUGUUAAAUACUGCUCGGGUCAUUUCUCAGCUCACACCAGAGGGGUAUUGAUUUCUCCUGUCAUUGUAGCUAAGCAACACCUUCUGUCCACACGCAAAACUACUGUCUUAUCCCAGGUCUGUACAAAUUACAGACCUUCCACCUACAUUUAUAAAAAGGUAGAAGAUCUUAUAUUGGCAGAGGAUAAAAUAGGAAACAAUAAGGUCAGAUCUUCCAUCUAGCGUAAAUGACAAAUCACACAGUCUCUUUCGACACCUCUCAAACGUCACAGCUUUGAGGCUCAUCUGUAUGUGCUUCGUAACUCAAGAGAUAAAGGUGACUACAGCGCAGCAAGCAUUUUAAGUAAUGAAAAGCCCCCAAAGCUGGCAAGCAGGUGACUUACAAAAAGGUAAACUGCCUGCAACAAGCCAUCAUACAGAAUGUGUGUGUAUGUUUCAGUGAGGGCAUAUUUAUUUCCUCACUGCAGCGAUUACUGUUUAUUCUGUCACACAAAGAAUAAAUAUGGUUUACUGGUAGACUGAUUUCUGACACAUAAGAUGUACUGUAAUUCUUACACACAGUUCAGGAAAGAUAACACUGCAGACAUAGGUUUGUCAUCACAUACUGUAGGCUCUUUAUCUCUGUGGUGUGCCAGAGGACCAACAGGCUGAAAUCCCUCCACAAUUUAUCAAAACGUACAAAAAUUGAAAUGCUCCGAUAACAAGAAUCCUACACAAGGCUUACAGGCUUAGAGUGUGGACAACCAUAGAGGCUUAGGACAUGACGAUUCACUUCCUGACACAAUUUAAGGGACAACAAAGCCUUCCCAAACUCGCUCUGUGUGUCGCCUGAGGUAUCCCACAGAUGAAGUACAUUACUGUGCAUCAGAACAGAAAUCCUCGCUUACAGUGUGAAAAUUAACACAAUCCAAAUGCUGCCAGGCACAAGUAGUCAAUCUUGGAUAUCUUAUUCUAUACUAAAUAAUGAAUUUCACGGAUAACAGAUAGCCUUCAUGGAGUAACAAUUCAAAUAUAAUCUAGGUCAGACAAUCCAUUAUAAUUUCACUAUGACUAUGAUUUCACUCAUGGAGACAAGUUUACCUUACUCACAUUUAUCUCACUGACAUUAAGAUUGUUAUUGAGGCAACACAACAUUAUGAACAGAGCUGGGUUACUCAUCAACACAGCCAUCUUAUUCUGGUUUCUCUCAGUAUUUUGAUUCUGCACAUAGCUAUAAAAGGUCAUGGAGUGAAGCGGAUACAAAGCAAUGUAUUUAAAAAGAAAAAACCUAGCUGGCGGUCACAGAAGACUAAAAACACGAUAGCAAAUAUAGCUUUCACUUUAUACAUAACACCUCGAGUAAUAGAGAUUACAUUAAGGGUGCUUUGGAAACUUAUCAAUGUGUGUGUAAAUCUUAAUCUAGUUGUCAUAGAAAUCAAACAUAAAUCACUGAUUAGAGGUUAUUGAGAGAUAUGAUUAGAAUAUCAACGUUCAUGAAUAUGUGUAUAUUACUAUGGAUUUCCACCACAUAGGUAUACAGUAAUUAGUAAUAGUUAUCUGUGUGCAUGAAAACAUGCAGUUAAUGAAAGUAGGAGAAAUUUUUGAAGUUACAUCAGGAGGUUAGAACCAUGAAUAUAUUACCUAACUCCUGUGAAAGUUCCCAAUCAACACACACACACACACACACACCUUGCCACUGAAGUAUCCUCUAGAUGAUAGCGCCAAAUAAUAAAUCUAACAACAGACGACAAUAAAAUCGAGACAUGGUAAAGGUCAUAUUAAAGUGACAUUCAGGGGGAGGUGAUCUCACGUGGUGUCAUUUUGCAGAAGACGACACAUAGUCAUAGUCUCUCAGUGUAGAAGAGAGAAAUUAUUGCGUCAAUUAGCAUUGCGGACAUGGUGCUCAUUUACAUAUAUUCCAAGUACAUCAAUCUGUGGGCCGACCUCUGUCAAAACUGAUUUAAAAGCUCUUUGUUGUCUUUCGUGGGACAAUCCCUCCCUUUUCCUACACUAUGCUAACACAGCAACAUCAAAAGCAGAGACUGCAUUGGCGACAAAUACGUUUUGAUAAUGUUUCUUCAGGGAACAUAAUCACCUGGAACAAGCACUAACACAUGCACAUAUUACUCACACGCCGCUAAAGACUCCAACUGAGGAAGCUAAUGUGAUUUGUCCAUGCAAAAAAUAAGAGAGAGCAAAAAAGAAACACAGAAAGCGGGGAGCAGGGGGCAGGUUAUUCAGACCCUUAGACUCAAAUCGACAAAAGUAAUUAAGCCUGCUCAUCUGACCUGCUCUCAAAAACUAGAAAACUAAUCACUACUUCAAAAUGAUCAGGGUUACAGUUUAGCUGAAUAACUAAAAUGUUAUCACACUUCCUUGUCCCAAUAAUUAACACAUUGCUGGCAUAGCCUCAAUUAAUAAUUAAUCAAUAAACGUCUAAUGAUGCCUUUAAGUGCCUGUCUGAAUUAUCAGAAUAAAAGUUUUGCGCACAGGAAACCAUAUAAAUCCAGUUGUAAUUAUUUGGAAAAUCUGACUACCCCAUCUAAGCUUAGACUCAAACUAAUGUAAAACACGCCUGACAGCGGUGCAAUGACUGGAAUGUCGUAAAAUAGAGUGCAAGUGGUUACUUGGUGGACAGCGUGUGGCAUAGGUUGCUUUUUUUCUAGUCCACACUGUUACCAAGUAAAUACGCAAGAACUUUCUUUUUAAGGGCCAAUCAUUAACAAACUCCUAAAAUGACAGGGGUCUCCUUGGUAUGUGUAGUGAAUUACCAUCAAACCAUAAGUCACAACAUAGGCUCGCCAAAGUAUACACACUAUUAACAUUAAAAUAGAUAUACUUUAGGCCAGUGGUUCCAAACUUGGAAAAGAUUAUUCAGAGGGGUAAAAAGAGUAUUAAAGGAGUAUUACAUUUAAAAAAAACUAUUUCUUUACACAAUUAUUUCUGACUUUACUUCAAAUUUUUGUGUUUUCUCAUGGAAUGCUGGAUACUUUCAACUCGUCAGGUCCCUAAAAGUGCUUUAAAAAAAUCUGAUUAAGAUGGUUGAAUUGCUUAUAACUCAUGUCAGCACUAUGGCCAUACUGUCUGACGAGGGGCCGCAAGUUUAUUUGCUUUGUUUUAUGGGGUCGAAAGCCAAAAAGGUUGGGAACCACUGCUUUAGACCACAGACCAGCAUUCGUUGUUCAUUAGAGGGUAUAUGACAGUGGACAGCGCUCAGUUACUGAUCCGAAGAGAAAUUUAAGUCUUUUUGUGGCUAUCUUUUGUGUCAUAUAUAAACAAACAUUUAACUGUAAUAACUUAUACUGUAUAAAAUACAAGAGAGAUUAAACUAUUCCUUUUCGAGGAACACCAGAUCCCAGUAAACCCCGAGGUACUAAUUUACCAUUUUGCAGUAGAAGGGUUUGAGCAAGUUCAUUUCAGUCUUAACACAAUAUACUGUCAUGUAAAGCCACUGAUCCUGACAAGGUUGGCAUAAUAACUUAUGCUCACAGGUAGCAGUUUAACCACAUAUUUUUAAAAUGUCAAACAGAAUAUGUGUGCAGCUGCAGCAACCUAGACAGGACCCAUGUGUGACUUUAAUUCUCAAUCAAACCACUUCCUGUUCUUCACUAAAGCGCGUGUUUGGUUGUGAAGUUAUGUUAACACGUGCUCAUGACAUUACUAUUAUCAUGACAAACCAAGACUUACAGAUGGGUAAUUAGCCAUAAAAAGCGAAACACUGGUUACAAUGACAUUUUAAGGCUGUAAAUUCCAACUAUACAUAAGUAAACACACACCUUGGAAGCUAAAUGUGAAGGCUAUUGUUGGCAAACCAGCUAAGCUAACGUCCGUAACUGACUUUGGGCCACUCUACCUAACAGAAAUCAGCAGAGGAUGACAAAAUCAAGGUGACCACAACGUUCAACAUGUUUUCAUCAAGUUUUAAUAGUGUUAGCCAGCAAAACUCAGGAUGGAUCUUCCAUAUGCAAAAACUUACAGUACAGCAUUCUGUUUACCCCCUAUCAGCCAACACAUUAAGCAACACCAUGCCCA
Molecule: long non-coding RNA, 4204 nt
Organism: Siniperca chuatsi (mandarin fish)
Lineage: Eukaryota; Metazoa; Chordata; Actinopteri; Centrarchiformes; Sinipercidae
Exons: 2
Source: RefSeq, a predicted model, not a curated record